AUAAAUGCCCUUGAUCUUUCCGUUUCUCGGCGCAUGGAUCUGAAAAUUUAGGGGUACUUUGGUAUUUAUGCAAAUCAGACGCUUAUUAAGAGAUAAAGGAAAAUUAAGGGCUUUUAUGAGAAAUUCUACCUUUCUCUGUUGAUGCCUACAAUUCCCAUACCUGCGCCUCGAUUGGGGUCGACAAGGAAGGCUUGGGUGAGCCGCAACCGCGUCGGUCCGGCUCCAUCUGGAAAUGCCGAAACCCGCUCCGCUCCCGAUUCCCACCUUCGCCUGGGGAAGGGCAAUGUCGGUAGAGAUGAACAGCGCCUCGAUGCCGGCCGCGCCGGAGACGCCGGGAUUCUUGUUCUCCGAUUGUUUUCGAGCAUUGGCAGCUAAUGGGGAGGGACUCGAAACCCAAGGAAUCAGGUGGUAAGGGGAAGGGAAAGCAGGCAGCUUGCUCUGCAACUGAUGAUAAUGCCUCCCAAGGGCAAAGGGAAGGGUGGCAAGUCAAGUGAUGGGCUUGGUACCUGCACUUAUGGUAAAGAUAAUGUCAUGCAGAUUACUUCAAGGCACCAAUAGAUUGCACUAUCUAUUUGCAAAUGCCUUGUCCCCAUUCAUGGAUUAACAAGACAGCUUAUUUCUGUUCGACUCGAUCGAUCCUGAUUGGGUCAGACUAAUUUCAUUUCCAAACAAUCAGGAUAACCUGAAACCAGCUAAUCCUGAGUUGGUUCUGUCUAAUUUCUGAUUGAUUUUGUGUAUCAGGCUAGGUACUGGAAGCCAGAAUGACUCAUUCUGUUCUGCACCAAUCUUGGCCAAUUUUCCACCAACUCCCAACAGCUUGCUGAAAAGAUUUGGCAAAAAUCCGACCAUCUAAAAGAAAGGAAAAGGAAAAUCAAUGGGAAAAACAAUCCCACGAUCUGGUUUAGCUGAUCCAAUCAAUUGAGACUGGUUUUGAUUCUGGAUUGUGUUAUCAAUCCCAAAGCUGAUCCAAAUAUUAUGAAAUUUAAGAAGCACAUUCAAGGAAGCUAGCUACUUUAUAGUCUCAUGUGCUCCGAAAUUAAUGGAAUAGCAAGGCACAUAUUAUGUGAAAAACAAGGCAAGAUUAAUGAAGCAUACAAGAAGCUCCAAGAUGGCUGGCAAAGCAAUGGAGACAAGGUUCCCCCUGCUGAAUUUGCAAAGGUAGGUUCUCUGUUCUGUCCACUGAGAUUGUUUCAGAAUCUUGUGAGUUUAGCUAUGGGCAUGAUGAUUGGUAGAGCAUUGUGAUACAAUCUAGAUCCUUAUUUUAUGAUUCCCUACAACAUGUGCUCUCAGUUCUGCUUUUCUUUUCCUUUUUUUAGUGGGUUUAUUGUUCUUUUAUUUUCAUUUUUCACUUUCA
This is a long non-coding RNA of Musa acuminata AAA Group (dessert banana), 1354 nucleotides long. RefSeq lists it as uncharacterized. The record is from RefSeq and is a predicted model, not a curated record. Lineage: Eukaryota; Viridiplantae; Streptophyta; Magnoliopsida; Zingiberales; Musaceae. The transcript is spliced from 5 exons.